RNAcentral lists this ribosomal RNA (394 nucleotides) under uncultured bacterium. RNAcentral describes it as "partial 16S ribosomal RNA". It matches the Rfam family "Bacterial small subunit ribosomal RNA", at positions 523 to 918 of the family's 1533-position model. The record is from RNAcentral.
AUACGUAGGGAGCGAGCGUUGUCCGGAAUUACUGGGCGUAAAGGGCGCGUAGGCGGCGCUUCAUGUCGUCUGUCAAAUGGGAGGGCUUAACCCUUUUUCGCAGACGAAACUGGAGAGCUUGAGAAGCAGAGAGGCAAACAGAAUUCCUGGUGUAGCGGUGAAAUGCGUAGAUAUCAGGAAGAAUACCAGUGGCGAAGGCGGUUUGCUGGCUGCAUACUGACGCUGAAGCGCGAAAGCCAGGGGAGCAAACGGGAUUAGAUACCCCGGUAGUCCUGGCAGUAAACGAUGUAUGCUGGGUGUGAGACUAGCGAUAGUUUCGUGCCGAAGUUAACGCGAUAAGCAUACCGCCUGGGGAGUACGGUCGCAAGAUUGAAACUCAAAUGAAUCGGCGGGG